UUUCCGUAGGUGAACCUGCGGAAGGAUCAUUACUGAGUGAGGGCCCCUCAGGGUCCAACCUCCCACCCGUGUUUAACGAACCUUGUUGCUUCGGCGAGCCCGCCUCACGGCCGCCGGGGGGCAUCUGCCCCCGGGCCUGCGCCCGCCGAAGCCACCUGUGAACUCGUCUGAGGUAUGUAGUCUGAGACAAUUAUUAAAUUAAUUAAAACUUUCAACAACGGAUCUCUUGGUUCCG
This 235-nucleotide unclassified non-coding RNA is filed under the name plant metagenome. RNAcentral describes it as "partial contains small subunit ribosomal RNA, internal transcribed spacer 1, and 5.8S ribosomal RNA". The record is from RNAcentral.